GGUAGCGAAAUUCCUUGUCGGGUAAGUUCCGACCUGCACGAAUGGCGUAACGAUGGCCACACUGUCUCCUCCUGAGACUCAGCGAAGUUGAAAUGGUUGUGAAGAUGCAAUCUCCCCGCGGUUAGACGGAAAGACCCCAUGAACCUUUACUGUAGCUUUGCAUUGGACUUUUGAACCGACUUGUGUAGGAUAGGUGGGAGGCAGUGAAGCCGGGACGCUAGUUCUGGUGGAGCCAACCUUGAAAUACCACCCUGGUUUGUUUGAGGUUCUAACCACGGCCCGUGAAUCCGGGUCUGGGACCGUGCAUGGUAGGCAGUUUGACUGGGGCGGUCUCCUCCUAAAGUGUAACGGAGGAGUACGAAGGUACGCUAGGUACGGUCGGACAUCGUGCUAAUAGUGCAAUGGCAAAAGCGUGCUUGACUGCGAGACCCACACGUCGAGCAGGUACGAAAGUAGGUCAUAGUGAUCCGGUGGUUCUGUAUGGAAGGGCCAUCGCUCAACGGAU
RNAcentral lists this ribosomal RNA (505 nucleotides) under uncultured bacterium. RNAcentral describes it as "bacterial LSU rRNA". It matches the Rfam family "Bacterial large subunit ribosomal RNA", at positions 1955 to 2457 of the family's 2925-position model. The record is from RNAcentral.